RNAcentral lists this small nucleolar RNA (261 nucleotides) under Patagioenas fasciata monilis. Its description in RNAcentral is "Small Cajal body specific RNA 6". It matches the Rfam family "Small Cajal body specific RNA 6". From Rfam's summary of the family: U88 is small Cajal body specific RNA (scaRNA). scaRNAs are a novel class of small nuclear RNAs which localise to the Cajal bodies. Lineage: Eukaryota; Metazoa; Chordata; Aves; Columbiformes; Columbidae. The record is from Rfam by way of RNAcentral.
GGUCUGUGAUGAACAGUAAAAGGUCUGAUUUCCCAAAGACUUGCGCUUCCAUGACCGCUUCUCCCAGCGGUUUCUCACCAGUCACAGCACAGCAGUGGUGUGGCUGGCAGUGUUUGCUGACAGCUUGUGAUGUGCUCGGUUCAUGUCAACCUCAAGUAUUGGAGACGUGGCCGGGCUCAGCAUCCAACAGCCCUACCUGAAGGAGUCUGGGGUCUUGGACAGUUAAAACUGGACACAUGAUCUGACUUUUCUGCUGAGACC